GCACUCUGGUUGGCUGGGGCGUUUACAGCUGGUGGUUUGCACCCACCGGUGCGCCGAUCACGGGCAGCGAUUGGGUGCUGUUCCCACUCGGGUGGCC
This 97-nucleotide transfer RNA is filed under the name Serratia fonticola. Its description in RNAcentral is "tRNA-Ala(tgc)". The record is from RNAcentral. Lineage: Bacteria; Pseudomonadati; Pseudomonadota; Gammaproteobacteria; Enterobacterales; Yersiniaceae.